AUAUUAUAUUUAUUAAAAAUUAUUCGUUAAAUGAUUUAUUAUUAUAGUUAUAAAGUUAAAUUUUAUGUUGUAAGUAUAUUAUAUUAUCUGUUUCUGGAAUAAAAAAUUGUUGUCUUAAAAAUUAGCAGAUUCGUUAUUCAUAAUAUAGUGAGAAUGAUAGUAUUAUUGUUACGAAUAAUAAUAACAAAACACAGUUUUUAAAUAAAUAUAUAUGUAUGUACAUAUAUAUAUAUAUAUAUAUAUAUAUAUACAUAUAUAUAUGUACAAUAUAAUAAUAGUUAUUUUAUUUGUAAAACUAUAUAUGUACUUUAUGUAUUGUAAAUGUUAAAUUAUAUAUUAUAUAUUUAUUUAUAUAUAAUAUACAACCAUAUUAUAUAUUCUAUUGUACGGAUAUAUCCAUAUUAUAUAUUUAUAUUUAGAUAAAUUUGAUCACUUUUUUUUUUCAAAAUUGUAGUUGAGCCAAUUAAUUCCAGUAAAAAAAAAAAAAAAAAAAAAAAAAAAAGAAAAAAAAAACGGACCCGUCAAACAGAAUCCAUGUAUGUUCCUAAAUUGUUUAUCAUAGCACAGUAACCAUAAAAAUAUUAACGGGACGUGAUUUUCAAUGGUUGCACUGCCACUUGAUGUCAACAUAUAAAAUAAUAUUAUUAAUGUUAUCAGCAUUCACAAUAAAGAUAUGGUUAGACCGUUAGUUAUUAUCGGCAUUCUCGGACAAUAAGGAUUUGAGGCUGCAUAUUUUUUUCUUUCGUGACAUUAGUAAUGUUAAUGUAAAAAAAAAAAAAAAAAACAUAUCACGUUUUUUUCUCAUAUUGAUUUUAAUUCCUACCCCAUUACACCCCGCUGCAUUCAUAAAUUCCGUUAUUAUUUACGAUUCAAUUUCAGGUACUUAUUUUUGAUAUUCUAUUAUUUUGUAUCAUAUAAAUUGGCAAAAAUGUAAUGAAGCCUCAAUUAACUACCCUUAACCGCUCCAUUUUAGAAAGCAGCCUCAAAUGUAAAAAUCUCGGAGUGAUCUGUCCAUAUCUUUAACAUCUAUGGGCUUAAGGCGUACAAAAAAAAAAUGAUAACGAAUUAAUUACACCGGCUCGACCGUCAAUAGUUACAUGGACAUCGGAGAUUUUCGAUUUAGAAAUACUAACAUCAUCCAGUGUAAUAAGUUUGAGGAUAAAUUUAAGAACAUAUAUGGGUAAUAGGUACCUGCUCGUGUAUUGUUAACACCAUAAUAUUAUAAUAAGGGAUAUAAUAAUGUUGUUAGGCGUCUUCAAAAUCUAAUUUUUCGAAAAGAAAGUAAUAUCUUAAUGUUUAUGUUCAAAUACGGCUCAUUAUUUAGGUGAUAGUUAUAUUAUUAUUAUUAUUAUUAUUAUCUUAAUGUCGUGUUAUUUGAUUUACCUUAUCCUUAUAUUUAACAGGGUAAUAGUAUUAUUUAAAUCUAGGCCUAAUAAUAUUACUUACUUAUAUAGUACCUAACUUAAGUUCGUUUGACCAUUUGUCUCAUGAUUAUAAUAUUGUAAUUAUUAUUAUUAUGUAGUAUAUUUAUUUAUUUAUUAUUAUCAUUUGUAUUUAUUUAAUUUUUAACUUUUUUUUUUUUUUUCUACCUUUACUUUUAUCUUUUUUUCGCACGUUACUUAUGCACAGUUAAUUUCUCUCACUGUCUUUGAAAAUUGAACCUAAAUAAUAUUACUAUAGUGAUUUCGUGAUUGUUUUUUUAACCCUUGUAUUGCCUACGUGUACGUGUACGACAAGGACGACGACCGAAAAUAUUAUGUUUGUCAUUCUAGCCGAUUUUAAAUCGAUGUACACAUACAUUUUAAUAUUAUCGUCCUUAUGAUAUUAUAGUAUUGUAUUAAGGCACAUGUACCCAGAGUAUACACAACUUCAAAAUAAUAUAAUCGUCGAACUCGAUUCGGGCGGAGUCCACAAUAUUAAAAAUCAUCAUAAUAAUAUUGCAUUGUCGAAUGAAAACCUCAAUAAUUUUUAAUUGCACUUAAACUAAAAACAAUAAUACAAAUUAAAAGAAAUAAGUAUUAAUGAAAUACAAGGGUUAAAGGAGUACACAUACCUUAUUUAUUAUUCGAUUAAUGUAUUUUGAGGUAACGCGGUGACCUAAUUUCAAAAAUUAAAUAAUAUUAUUAAUCGGAGACCACGUGGUGCUACCACGUGUCUCGUACUUAAAUUUUACUGUAUUAUCGAUUAUUAUUAUUAAAAUAUAUUAUAAAGAAAACAAAAAUUGAAUGACUGUUCAUUAGUUUAAAUAAUGUGUUUAUUAUUGUUUAGGUUGUCAAUUAUUAUUCUAGAAAUAAAUACAUGAGUUGUCAAUAAUUGUGUUUUUUUUUUUUUUUUUUUUUACGUUUAUUAUUCCCGAAUAAAUCUCCUAUUUGAAAGAUGAGUUUUCUCAAAAAUUUAAUUUUUGCUAUUUUUAGAUAGGUAAUACUAUAACACGUGGUCCGGUAUUUUUCUGAGCGCUGCACAGAAUCCAAUACCCGCAAUUCAUAAACUAUAAUGUAAGGGUACCUAUUGAUAUGAUAAUAACGUGUUUAUAUAGAUAGAUUUCACUGUGAAGAUACGUGCGAGGG
This is a non-coding RNA of Cinara cedri, 2567 nucleotides long. NCBI's taxonomy places the organism in Eukaryota, Metazoa, Arthropoda, Insecta, Hemiptera, Aphididae. The record is from the annotation of a GenBank genome assembly.